Molecule: ribosomal RNA, 2004 nt
Filed under: Triticum aestivum (bread wheat)
Lineage: Eukaryota; Viridiplantae; Streptophyta; Magnoliopsida; Poales; Poaceae
Description: partial small subunit ribosomal RNA
Source: RNAcentral
AUGGACCCGUUUCAUUUCCCUGGACCUGCUGCAGCAGUCAUGUUCCGCUCACCCAUGCUCCUACUGCUCACCUUCCUCCUCUCUAGCACCACCACUAUAGCUGCCGAAAUCCCGCCGUCGUGCGAGCCAGCGUCGUGCGGCGACCUCCGCAUCACGUACCCCUUCUGGCUCGGCGGCACGCACCCGCCCGAGUGUGGCUACCACGCCUUCCGGGUCACCUGCGACCACCGCGCCGGCAGCAAGGCCUUACUCCAGCACUCAGUUUCCACGUACCAGAUCCUCGACAUCUCCUAUCAAGACAGCUCGUUGCGGAUCAAAAACGUUGAGCUCUCGGACGGCAUGUGCAACCCCAAGCUCCAUGCGAACGCCUCCUCCAACCUCGGCCUCGCGCCCUUCGGCAUCAGCGCCGCCAACCAGGAGCUCUUCUUCCUCUACAACUGCAGCGCCCUGCCGCCUCCGCCUACAUGGGCGCCCAUGUACUGCGCCACUGGAUCCAAGCGGCCGCUCAACAAUUCGUUUGCGUGGCUUGCUGGGGCAUACAAGCUAGACGACAUUUCGAGGCAGGUGCACUGGAACUGCACGGCGUCCAUGAUGCCAGUGCUCGGGUACAAGGGGGCGACCGGGGUGGACUACCAGCGGCUGAUGGAGGGCGGGUUCCUUCUUGAGUACACGGCCGGCGACUGUGUGGCGUGCAUGGAGAGCCGAGGAAUUUGCCGGACUAAUAUCACCAACGAUAUCUUCGAGUGCCACUGCCCCGACGGAAUUUCUUCGUCCAACAUCUGCGCUAUCAUGGAGACCGGCACGAAGAUUGUACUAAUAGGUAUGCUAGUUUUGGCAGUAACAGCUGCAACCUUGAUCUCCCUCUGUUUUUAUCUGCUGAGGCAUAUAAAGGUAAGACUAUGGAUUCCCCUUAGCAAGAAGACUAGCAGCAACACCGAAAAGAAUUAUGAGGCCAUGAUUGCAGCAUAUGGAUCCCUAGCUCCUACAAGAUACAUCUACUCGGAGGUAAUGAAGAUAACAUAUUCUUGUAAGAAACAACUUGGAAAAGGUGGUUAUGGUGUGGUUUUCAAAGGAAGGCUACAGGAUGGUCGUUUGGUUGCUGUGAAAUUCUUGCAUGAUUGCAAAGGAAACGGAGAAGAGUUUGUGAAUGAGGUUCUGAGCAUUGGAAGGACCUCUCAUGUUAAUGUUGUUAGCUUAUUUGGGUUUUGUUUCGAGGGAUCAAAGCGAGCUCUUAUAUAUGAGUAUAUGCCUAAUGGUUCCUUGGAUAAGUACAUUUACUCACAAAACCCCAAAGAAAUUUUAGGAUGGGAGAGGCUCUAUGUAAUAGCAAUCGGGAUUGCUCGUGGCCUUGAGUACUUACACCAUAGAUGUAAUACUCGUAUUGUCCAUUUCGAUAUGAAGCCUCAAAAUAUCCUUCUAGACAAGGAUUUUAGCCCAAAGAUUGCUGAUUUUGGUCUAGCUAAAUUAUGUCAUACAAAGGAGAGUGAGCUUUCAAUGACCGGUACUAGAGGAACAAUUGGGUUCAUCGCUCCGGAAAUCCACUCUCGAACCUUUGGAGUUGUUUCAACAAAAUCAGAUGUUUAUAGUUAUGUAAUGAUGUUGUUGGAGAUGGUUGGAGGUAGGAGAAAUGUCAAAUCAAUUGUGAACAAAUCUAGCGAAAAGUAUUUUCCAGAUUGGAUUUACGACCACUUUGCCCAAGAUGAAGGAUUAAAAGUAUGUGAAGUUACAAGCGAAGUUGAGGAAAUUGCGAGAAAGAUGACCUUAAUUGGCUUGUGGUGCAUACAAGUAUUACCUAUAUAUCGCCCUACUAUAACAAAAGUUCUAGAAAUGUUUGAGAAAAGCUUGGAUGAUUUGGACAUGCCACCAAAGCAGAGCUUCUAUGAACUACUUGAGAGUCCAACUAAUAAUAUGGAAGUACAAAGUGUAUGGUCUGAGACUGAGGAGAUUGAAACAUUGGAGAUACGCCAUGUCAAGGGUAUGCCCCCCACAAGGGAUAUUGCCUAG